Molecule: non-coding RNA, 45 nt
Organism: Schistosoma mansoni
Lineage: Eukaryota; Metazoa; Platyhelminthes; Trematoda; Strigeidida; Schistosomatidae
Source: Rfam
AUCCAGCUGACGAGUCCCAGCUGGAACUAAACGUGCGUCGUGAAU